GUGGGUGUAGCUCAACAGGUCAGAGCACUGGGUUGUGGCCCCAGAGGUUGUCGGUUCGAGUCCGAUCACUCACCCCA
RNAcentral lists this transfer RNA (77 nucleotides) under Desulfoglaeba alkanexedens ALDC. RNAcentral's name for it is "tRNA-His". It matches the Rfam family "tRNA". Rfam says of the family: Transfer RNA (tRNA) molecules are approximately 80 nucleotides in length. Their secondary structure includes four short double-helical elements and three loops (D, anti-codon, and T loops). The record is from RNAcentral. Lineage: Bacteria; Pseudomonadati; Thermodesulfobacteriota; Syntrophobacteria; Syntrophobacterales; Syntrophobacteraceae. RNAcentral also lists the same sequence under 1 other name.